UACAGAGGGGGCAAGCGUUGUUCGGAAUUACUGGGCGUAAAGGGCGCGUAGGCGGCCGCCUAAGUCAGACGUGAAAUCCCUCGGCUCAACCGGGGAACUGCGUCUGAUACUGGAUGGCUUGAGUUUGGGAGAGGGAUGCGGAAUUCCAGGUGUAGCGGUGAAAUGCGUAGAUAUCUGGAGGAACACCGGUGGCGAAGGCGGCAUCCUGGACCAACACUGACGCUGAGUGAGCGAAAGCCAGGGGAGCAAACGGG
RNAcentral lists this ribosomal RNA (254 nucleotides) under uncultured bacterium. RNAcentral describes it as "partial 16S ribosomal RNA". It matches the Rfam family "Bacterial small subunit ribosomal RNA", at positions 524 to 776 of the family's 1533-position model. The record is from RNAcentral.